Non-coding RNA from Arachis ipaensis, 1106 nucleotides. Lineage: Eukaryota; Viridiplantae; Streptophyta; Magnoliopsida; Fabales; Fabaceae. The record is from RefSeq and is a predicted model, not a curated record.
GUUUUUGGAAUUUGAUGGAUAAAGUUGCUGUCUUUCGUUUAUUAUUGGGAAUAGAAGAGGUGUGAGAAUUUAGAAUUGGAUUAAGUUAAGUUAAGUUAAUAUGGGUAAUUGAGAAAUAUUGAAUAAAUUUUUAUGAUUUUGUUAGUUUUGUCAACAGGAACUAAUCUUUUAUGGAUAUAAUGUGAGUGUUGUUUUUUAUGGAUAGAUUUAUUAGUGUUAUUAAUAUUUGUGGAUAGAAAGAGUAGUUUUCUCUUUUGUAUGUAGCAAUUUAUUGGCCAACGACAAAUUUUUAAAUGGAGCUCAAUAUUGUGGUAAAUUAGUCAUUGACCUGCCGAGUUAGGAGAUACCAUAAAAAAAAAGAAGAAGAAAUAGUUGUCUUUCUUGGCAAAUAAUUUCGAUGAUAAAUAUUUAAUGUAUAAUUUGUUUUAUAUAUAAAAUAAUUUAGUAUCAUUGUAAUAUACAGCAUAGUUGAAAAAAUUGAAUUGAUUCAGGCGGUCGAACUGGAAAAUCGGCAACCCAGCCUUUAGCCAAUCCGAUCUUGACAUUGGACUUGAUAAAAAACAAACCUGGUGAGAACCAGUUUGAUUCGGUCGAGUUUUGCAAAAACCAAUGAACCUCUGGGUUUGAGAAACUUAGGCCGGUACAGAAAUUUAAAACACCACACCCCAUAAAGACAUCAAAAAAGAAACGUCUAGGCUAGUUUUGAACACAUCCCACCCCCAGCGCUCUCACGUUCACUUUUGAAAACGGCACACCACACACAGAGGCACAACGCUGGCAGCUCACCUCGGUUCGCCGCGGUUGCCGCGCCUCUCGCCGAAUCCUCUGUAUCGUGUGCUUUUUGUAGCCGUGCAGCGUGUCGUCAUCGUUGUUCCCUAUCACAGCACCCAACGCUUGGUGUCCUCCACUGCUCGCAUUUUACCUCUCUUCCUGCAACUGUGCUUCUUGGUGAGUGCUUGCUUUUGCCGCACCGCGCCUCCGACCCUUCCUCGCCUCUCUUCCAUGGUUGUUGCUACCUGAACUGCUGCUCGUUGUCCACCUUUUGCCUCUGCAACAACAGGGGUGUUCAAAACCGAUCCGGACCAAACUAAACCGAUGGACCGAAU